This is a non-coding RNA of Crenichthys baileyi (White River springfish), 92 nucleotides long. NCBI's taxonomy places the organism in Eukaryota, Metazoa, Chordata, Actinopteri, Cyprinodontiformes, Goodeidae. The record is from the annotation of a GenBank genome assembly.
GAUGGUGGUGGUGUAGGGGUUAAGCGCGCAACCAUGUGCUGAGGCUAUAGUCUUCGAUUCAGCUGUCCUGGGUUCGAGUCCCAGACCAACCU